Molecule: transfer RNA, 75 nt
Filed under: Nanobdellota archaeon
Lineage: Archaea; Nanobdellati; Nanobdellota
Also listed under: 1 other name
Description: tRNA-Asp
Rfam family: tRNA
About the family: Transfer RNA (tRNA) molecules are approximately 80 nucleotides in length. Their secondary structure includes four short double-helical elements and three loops (D, anti-codon, and T loops). Further hydrogen bonds mediate the characteristic L-shaped molecular structure. tRNAs have two regions of fundamental functional importance: the anti-codon, which is responsible for specific mRNA codon recognition, and the 3' end, to which the tRNAs corresponding amino acid is attached (by aminoacyl-tRNA synthetases). tRNAs cope with the degeneracy of the genetic code in two manners: having more than one tRNA (with a specific anti-codon) for a particular amino acid; and 'wobble' base-pairing, i.e. permitting non-standard base-pairing at the 3rd anti-codon position.
Source: RNAcentral
GCCCCUGUAGUGUAGCCCGGCCCAUCAUGCCGGCCUGUCGAGCCGGCGACCCGGGUUCAAAUCCCGGCGGGGGCG